This 314-nucleotide long non-coding RNA is filed under the name Gallus gallus (chicken). RNAcentral describes it as "long non-coding RNA NONGGAT011753". The record is from RNAcentral. Lineage: Eukaryota; Metazoa; Chordata; Aves; Galliformes; Phasianidae.
GGCCGGCGUGCUGGCACAGCUGCACGGGGAGAUAGCUUUGGCGCCAUCGUUUAGGCUGUGUUUGCUGAGAAUGCUAUUUCACUCCACCGAUAGUUUGACAGUACAGGAAUUUCAACGGGAGGAAGCCUCUGUUCAGAACUGGAUCUGUUACAGGACAUUGUGACGUUACUGCAGAAACACUGAUACUUGACUGAGAAUAGCAAGGAUGGGAAGUCAACUCUUAGCAGCGAGUACUGAUGCCCUGUCAGAUCCAGCGCUAAUCUCAUCUUGCUCUGCAGUGCGCUUCCCACUGUGGCCGUACUGCUGGCCGGCCU